AGCAGUUGGCGUCAUCUACGAGGUCGAGAUGGUUGUAGGCAUCGAGAGUGAUGCCGAGUGCCUAUUUGUUUCACCGAAGGUGAAAUUUAGAUUAAAGUAGAUUUUCGGAUAAACUAGGGUUUUUAUAAAAGUUGCUUUCCUUCCGUUGUUUGUUUGUAUAGCUGCGGAAUUGAAGUUUCCUCUAUUUUGUUGUUUAUUUGGCAGAAAGUGAAUGACGUAAAAAUAUGAGGGAUAAGAGAUGAAUUAAUAUUUUUUUUAUUUUUCUCUAUUAUUGGUUUUGGUCUUGCGUGGGCCGAAGUUAAUUACCGUAUUUUGAAAAGUUUGCGUUUCAACCGGAGCUAACCGGAGCUAAAGUUACGGUAAACUAAACAGUGAAAGUAGAUAUUUACGGUCAUUACCCAUCUCCACUUUAGGUGAAACAAAUAUACUCUGAAGGUGGUGAGGUUGGGCUUGAGGUGAUGGGCGCGCGGAUCGGAAGAGAUUAGAAAUUGAAAUUAAAAAGAGCAAAGAUUAAG
This 515-nucleotide long non-coding RNA is filed under the name Ananas comosus (pineapple). RNAcentral's name for it is "long non-coding RNA (ACOM_LNC015760)". The record is from RNAcentral. Lineage: Eukaryota; Viridiplantae; Streptophyta; Magnoliopsida; Poales; Bromeliaceae.